ACUAUUUUGGCAGAAAAAUGUAAUGAUUUUAGAAGUCAUUUAUAUAUAAUUUAAUUAUAUAGAUAGUA
This 68-nucleotide transfer RNA is filed under the name Eutelia adulatricoides. Its description in RNAcentral is "tRNA-Leu". The record is from RNAcentral. Lineage: Eukaryota; Metazoa; Arthropoda; Insecta; Lepidoptera; Euteliidae.